Molecule: unclassified non-coding RNA, 2538 nt
Filed under: Mizuhopecten yessoensis (Yesso scallop)
Lineage: Eukaryota; Metazoa; Mollusca; Bivalvia; Pectinida; Pectinidae
Description: hemicentin-1-like, transcript variant X5
Source: RNAcentral
AAAACCGCUAUUCUCUUAGUGAGUUGUCUGAGUAAUAACAUGCAUUGUGUUACAAUCUAUCUCAAAAUCAAGUGCUGCAUGUAAAAAGAUCUUCUGUCAACACACCUACACAAAACAGACCGGGAAACGUAUAGCGUGAUUCGGAUACGCAUCAAUGAUCACAUGUUAUAUAUAGAAAAUUAUUCGGGACAGGGUAUUCAUGACUUAAAAUCAGACCAGGAAGUGAAUUUAUUCAUUUAAUAUCUAAUACAAAAUGUAUAUGUUGAAAUAAGGCAUAGGGGGUGGAAGAGAGGAUUCGGAAUAACCCCGAUACAAGGAAGCACUGGGCAGGUGGGAAUGCAGUUAUGAUGAGUGAGGACCAUUCUAAUAUCUCUGUCAUUUCAAUGUUUGGCCUUUUACUAGUACUGUUUUCAUCGACAGGAGCGGUAAGAUUAUCAGGAUCUUCUGACUAUGCUGUCCCUGGGAGUCCUUUUAAUUUAAUAUGUGACGUUCCAGAUGUAGCUGAAAAUGUCACAUUUUAUAGAAGUCCUGAUCGGGUUGUCGGCAGUGUUAAAGUGUUGAAUGCGUCGUGCUACUAUUACAAUGAAACCAGUGACAUUCCUUGUGGCGAAUCUUUCUGUGAAUGUCUGCCUUCAGGAGAUGGCGUUGGCAGAAAAUUCAACUGGACGAUCAGACCAACAGCGCAGGAUCAUUCUUCAUCUUGGUUUUGUGUUCGAUACAAUCCAUGGAGGAUCGACGAAACAUUGAACAGCCCGGACUACAUUCUUCAAAUAGCGAAAAGUCCAGAUGGAGAUAUAUCCCUGAACCCUCCGAGUACCAACUACAACAAAAAAGAGGGCGAAAUAUUACCGGAUAUCACAUGUAUAGCUGACUGUAGACCUGGCUGUAAAUUUGUCUGGACAAAGCCGGACUACACAAACUUCACUUCAUCUGUAUUGUCACUGAGUCAACUUAACAGAACGGAACAAGGGACAUACAGGUGUACAGCAAGGAAUACAUACGGAACAAACUCGAUCACAGUCAUGGUGAUAGUUAAUUACGGUCCAGGCGAAUCUGUUGCUCUAAGCCCGCCGACUAGCGUGUACAUCAGAAAUGAGGGUGUCACCUUACCGGAUAUCAACUGCAUAGCUGACUGUAGACCUAGCUGUACAUUUUUCUGGACAAAGCCGGAUAAAAUCAUCUUCGUUGCCUCAUCUUCAUCUGUGUUGUCACUCGGACAACUGGAUAGGUCAGAACACGGGCGUUACAGGUGUAAUGCAAGGAAUGAAGUCAGCAAUACCACACGAGAAAUCAACGUUACAGUACAAUAUCCCCCACAUAUUCUGAGUCUCUCGUACGACCAAGGUAAUGCUAACGUGAAAGAGAAUGAGGCGAAAUCAAUGUCUUGUGCAGUAGACAGUUACCCAUCCUCCACUAUCACGUGGUACUUCAAUAAUAUAACCUUAUUGACCACCUUUGACGUUAUGGAGAGUACCUACAUCCUCGCUAAUGCUGGCUGUCAAGACACAGGAAUCUACACCUGCUCUGCAAGAAACAGUGCAUCAAAUGCACCAUAUACUAUGGAUAUAUAUAUUAAUGUCUUGUGUAAACCGAGGAUUGAUACUAGAGUAAACACAGUUUUUACGAUCGGAAUCGGUUUAUCAAGGGACCUGGUUCUAACUGCAUCUUACCUGUCAAACCCGGAACCAACAUUCACCUGGCUGUUUCACAUGGCGGCUAAAACUGAAGACCUCGUGCACGGGAAAGAACGUGUUUCCAUACGUAGCACAUAUCAUGCCACUGAUCUGGCUGCUGUCUCUACUCUAACGAGAUCAAGAAUGGAGGAGAGGUGGUUCGGGAUUUACAUCGUAACCGUUACCAAUGACCAAGGCAGUGAUACAGUGGUGUACACAGUGACUGCAGCCGAUAAACCCAACCCUCCCGUCCAAGGCAAAGCUGACUGUCCUUUCGCCAACAGAGCCCUUUUGAGUUGGAUCUCAGAUUUCAAUGGCGGUUCAGAGCAAAAAUUCGUUGUGGGGAUGAAGGGCGAUCAAGAGGACACUUAUGUCAUCAACACAAAUACAAAAUACGAUGAUCCAGGACGUGGUAAACGUAUCGACGCAGAACUUUCUGAUCUAUUGCCGGAUAGACUGUAUUUUUUCAGCGUCAUUGCAAUUAAUGAACAUGGCAAUUCAAGUCUCGUGAAUGAAGUGAAUUGUACGACUAAAGCAAUUCCAGUGGUUGAGGGUUCUAACACAGCGGGGAUCGUCGUUGGAGUGGUGGUUUCCAUUUUAAUCAUUGCUGCACUCUCUAUCGCGGUCGUCAUAUUCAGGAGGAAGAUGUUUACAUAUUGCAAGAAAGGUAAAAAACAUGAUGAUACGCAAAUGACAAGUCCUAGAAAUGGGAAAGUAUUUGAAUUAGUUGUUUUUUCAACAAAAAAAACCCCGAUCCAUAUGACAGUUUAGAUCCAGAACAACUUUACCAGAAUCAAGUGGUUGAUGAAGCCGAAGCAAUCCAAGUCAGUGAAGGAAAUAGGAUCAGCACCUACGAGUCAUUGCA